This 800-nucleotide ribosomal RNA is filed under the name uncultured bacterium. RNAcentral's name for it is "bacterial SSU rRNA". It matches the Rfam family "Bacterial small subunit ribosomal RNA", at positions 8 to 799 of the family's 1533-position model. The record is from RNAcentral.
AGAGUUUGAUCCUGGCUCAGAUUGAACGCUGGCGGCGUGCUUAACACAUGCAAGUCGAUCGGUAACAGGUGUAGCAAUACAUGCUGACGAGAGGCGGACGGGUGAGGAACGCUUGGGAAUCUGCCCAUCAGCGGGGGACAACCCGGGGAAACCCGGGCUAAUACCGCAUACGCUCUACGGAGGAAAGCCGGGGACCGCAAGGCCUGGCACUGAUGGAUGAGCCCAAGUCGGAUUAGCUAGUUGGCGGGGUAACGGCCCACCAAGGCGACGAUCCGUAGCUGGUCUGAGAGGACGAUCAGCCACACUGGGACUGAGACACGGCCCAGACUCCUACGGGAGGCAGCAGUGGGGAAUAUUGGACAAUGGGGGAAACCCUGAUCCAGCGACGCCGCGUGGGUGAAGAAGGCCUGCGGGUUGUAAAGCCCUUUCGGUAGGGACGAAAGCUCUCGACCUAACACGUCGAGAGGAUGACUUAACCUACAAAAGAAGCACCGGCUAACUCUGUGCCAGCAGCCGCGGUAAUACAGAGGGUGCGAGCGUUAAUCGGAAUUACUGGGCGUAAAGCGCACGUAGGCGGCUUGGCAUGUCGGGUGUGAAAUCCCCGGGCUCAACCUGGGAACUGCAUCCGAAACUGCCUUGCUAGAGUAUGGGAGAGGGAAGUGGAAUUUCCGGUGUAGCGGUGAAAUGCGUAGAUAUCGGAAGGAACAUCAGUGGCGAAGGCGACUUCCUGGACCAAUACUGACGCUCAGGUGCGAAAGCGUGGGGGAGCAAACAGGAUUAGAUACCCCUGGUAGUCCACG